RNAcentral lists this ribosomal RNA (397 nucleotides) under uncultured bacterium. RNAcentral describes it as "partial 16S ribosomal RNA". It matches the Rfam family "Bacterial small subunit ribosomal RNA", at positions 523 to 918 of the family's 1533-position model. The record is from RNAcentral.
AUACGUAGGGGGCGAGCGUUGUCCGGAAUGAUUGGGCGUAAAGGGCGCGUAGGCGGCCUGUUAAGUCUGGAGUGAAAGUCCUGUUUUCAAGAUGGGAAUUGCUUUGGAUACUGAUGGGCUUGAGUGCAGGAGAGGUUAUCGGAAUUCCUGGUGUAGCGGUGAAAUGCGUAGAGAUCGGGAGGAACACCAGUGGCGAAGGCGGGUAACUGGACUGCAACUGACGCUGAGGCGCGAAAGUGUGGGGAGCAAACAGGAUUAGAUACCCUGGUAGUCCACACUGUAAACGAUGAAUGCUAGGUGUAAGAGGUAUCGACCCCUUUUGUGCCGGAGUUAACACAAUAAGCAUUCCGCCUGGGGAGUACGGCCGCAAGGUUGAAACUCAAAUGAAUUGGCGGGG